UGCCGCCUGGGAAGUACGUACGCAAGUAUGAAACUUAAAGGAAUUGGCGGGGGAGCACCACAAGGGGUGAAGCCUGCGGUUCAAUUGGAGUCAACGCCUGAAACCUUACCCGGAGAGACAGCAGAAUGAAGGUCAAGCUGAAGACUUUACCAGACAAGCUGAGAGGUGGUGCAUGGCCGUCGCCAGCUCGUGCCGUGAGAUGUCCUGUUAAGUCAGGUAACGAGCGAGAUCCCUGCCUCUAGUUGCCACUAUUACACCCUGGUGUAGUAGGGCGAAUUAGGGGGACCGCCGCAGUUAAUGCGGAGGAAGGAAGGGGCCACGGCAGGUCAGUAUGCCCCGAAACUCUGGGGCCACACGCGGGCUGCAAUGGUAACGACAAUGAGUUCCAAAAUCGAAAGAUAGAGGUAAUCCCUAAACGUUACCACAGUUAUGAUUGAGGGCUGCAACUCGCCCUCAUGAAUAUGGAAUCCCUAGUAACCGCGUGUCAUUAUCGCGCAGUGAAUACGUCCCUGCUCCUUGCACACACCGCCCGUCGUUUCAUUGAAGUUUGCCUUUAGCGAGGUGAUGUCUAAUUGGCAUUAUCGAACUUGGGGUAAGUGACAAGGGAAAAGUCGUAACAAGGUGACCGUAGGGGAACCUGCGGUCG
This 646-nucleotide ribosomal RNA is filed under the name marine metagenome. RNAcentral's name for it is "bacterial SSU rRNA". It matches the Rfam family "Archaeal small subunit ribosomal RNA", at positions 822 to 1467 of the family's 1478-position model. The record is from RNAcentral.